GGUUGUAUAGUGUAGCGGUUAUCACUGUAAGCUCUCCUCCUAUCGUCUUCCCAGCGCAUUCGAUGCUGAUUCCCUCCAGCCGGAUUUUGAUCACACUCAAAGUCUUCCGGUAACCCCGGUUCGAACCCGGGUACGACCU
This 139-nucleotide transfer RNA is filed under the name Colletotrichum orbiculare MAFF 240422. RNAcentral's name for it is "tRNA-Glu for anticodon CUC". The record is from RNAcentral. Lineage: Eukaryota; Fungi; Ascomycota; Sordariomycetes; Glomerellales; Glomerellaceae.